RNAcentral lists this ribosomal RNA (443 nucleotides) under uncultured bacterium. RNAcentral describes it as "partial 16S ribosomal RNA". It matches the Rfam family "Bacterial small subunit ribosomal RNA", at positions 338 to 795 of the family's 1533-position model. The record is from RNAcentral.
CCUACGGGAGGCAGCAGUGGGGAAUAUUGGACAAUGGGGGGAACCCUGAUCCAGCGACGCCGCGUGAGUGAAGAAGUAUUUCGGUAUGUAAAGCUCUAUCAGCAGGGAAGAAAGAAAUGACGGUACCUGACUAAGAAGCCCCGGCUAACUACGUGCCAGCAGCCGCGGGAAUACGUAGGGGGCAAGCGUUAUCCGGAUUUACUGGUUGUAAAGGGAGCGUAGACGGCGAUGCAAGUCUGAAGUGAAAGGCGGGGGCCCAACCCCCGGACUGCUUUGGAAACUGUAUGGCUGGAGUGCAGGAGAGGUAAGUGGAAUUCGUAGUGUAGCGGUGAAAUGCGUAGAUAUUAGGAGGAACACCAGUUGCGAAGGCGGCUUACUGGACUGUAACUGACGUUGAGGCUCGAAAGCGUGGGGAGCAAACAGGAUUAGAUACCCUGGUAGUC